This 494-nucleotide ribosomal RNA is filed under the name uncultured bacterium. RNAcentral's name for it is "partial 16S ribosomal RNA". It matches the Rfam family "Bacterial small subunit ribosomal RNA", at positions 30 to 507 of the family's 1533-position model. The record is from RNAcentral.
AUUGAACGCUGGCGGCAUGCUUUACACAUGCAAGUCGAACGGCAGCGGGGAGGAGCUUGCUUCUCUGCCGGCGAGUGGCGAACGGGUGAGUAAUACAUCGGAACGUGUCGAGAAGAGGGGGAUAACCACCCGAAAGGGUGGCUAAUACCGCAUAAAUUCUGAGGAAGAAAGCUGGGGACCUAGGAAUAGGCCUAGCGCUUUUUGAGCGGCCGAUGUCGGAUUAGCUAGUUGGUGAGGUAAAGGCUCACCAAGGCGAAGAUCUGUAGCGGGUCUGAGAGGAUGAUCCGCCACACUGGGACUGAGACACGGCCCAGACUCCUACGGGAGGCAGCAGUGGGGAAUUUUGGACAAUGGGGUCAGCCCUGAUCCAGCCAUGCCGCGUGUAUGAAGAAGGCCUUAGGGUUGUAAAGUACUUUUGUUAGGGAAGAAAAGUCAGCUGUGAAUAAUGGCUGAUACUGACGGUACCUAAAGAAUAAGCACCGGCUAACUACGUG